GGGACGUUUGGUGGAGCGGAAUAGCUCUCUGUCUCAGCAAUCUAAGAGAAGCUCAGAGAUUUUUGAGGUUGCUGAUGGGUUAACUAUUGUUGGGUGCCUUAGGCAUUGAUGCUACAGAUGGAAGUCAUCUACUGUAGAAGCCCGGACAAAAACUUUCUAUUGGAGAAAUCCGGUUGGAGUCCGAUUGCUAGAGAAGUCUGUCUGAAAUUUAUCUGAUGUAGAAGCUUGUCUGAAGACUGUCCGCUGGAGAGGUCCGGAUGCAUGAGAAAUCUGAUAGAAGGUCGACCGAUAGCAGAAUUUGAAAGGUACUAUAGAAGGUUGAUCGAUAGAAGAGUCUGAAAGGCAUUGUGGAAGUUCAUCCACUGGAGGAGUCUGGAGGACACUGUGGAAGGUCGACCGCUGGAGGGGUCC
This 411-nucleotide long non-coding RNA is filed under the name Elaeis guineensis (African oil palm). RNAcentral's name for it is "long non-coding RNA (EGUI_LNC079405)". Lineage: Eukaryota; Viridiplantae; Streptophyta; Magnoliopsida; Arecales; Arecaceae. The record is from RNAcentral.